RNAcentral lists this ribosomal RNA (630 nucleotides) under Stenotrophomonas sp. RNAcentral's name for it is "bacterial SSU rRNA". It matches the Rfam family "Bacterial small subunit ribosomal RNA", at positions 122 to 747 of the family's 1533-position model. The record is from RNAcentral. Lineage: Bacteria; Pseudomonadati; Pseudomonadota; Gammaproteobacteria; Lysobacterales; Lysobacteraceae.
GAAUCUACUUUUUCGUGGGGGAUAACGUAGGGAAACUUACGCUAAUACCGCAUACGACCUACGGGUGAAAGCAGGGGAUCUUCGGACCUUGCGCGAUUGAAUGAGCCGAUGUCGGAUUAGCUAGUUGGCGGGGUAAAGGCCCACCAAGGCGACGAUCCGUAGCUGGUCUGAGAGGAUGAUCAGCCACACUGGAACUGAGACACGGUCCAGACUCCUACGGGAGGCAGCAGUGGGGAAUAUUGGACAAUGGGCGCAAGCCUGAUCCAGCCAUACCGCGUGGGUGAAGAAGGCCUUCGGGUUGUAAAGCCCUUUUGUUGGGAAAGAAAUCCAGCUGGUUAAUACCCGGUUGGGAUGACGGUACCCAAAGAAUAAGCACCGGCUAACUUCGUGCCAGCAGCCGCGGUAAUACGAAGGGUGCAAGCGUUACUCGGAAUUACUGGGCGUAAAGCGUGCGUAGGUGGUCGUUUAAGUCCGUUGUGAAAGCCCUGGGCUCAACCUGGGAACUGCAGUGGAUACUGGGCGACUAGAGUGUGGUAGAGGGUAGCGGAAUUCCUGGUGUAUCAAUGAAAUGCGUAGAGAUCAGGAGGAACAUCCAUGGCGAAAGCAGCUACCUGGACCAACACUGACACU